This 275-nucleotide unclassified non-coding RNA is filed under the name plant metagenome. RNAcentral describes it as "partial contains small subunit ribosomal RNA, internal transcribed spacer 1, and 5.8S ribosomal RNA". The record is from RNAcentral.
UUUCCGUAGGUGAACCUGCGGAAGGAUCAUUACAGAGUUCAUGUUCGAAAGGGUAGAUCUCCCACUCUUGUGCAUUUUUACUUUGUUGCUUUGGCGUGUGCAUGCUCGCCAGAGAAUACUAAAACUCUUUUUUUUAAUGUUGUCUGUGAACAAUAUAAUAGUUAAAGCAUUCAAAAACGGACUUCUUGGUUCUGGUAUCGAUGCAGAACGCAGCAGAAAGGAAGAGCACACGCCGGAAAUCCAGCCACGGAACGCCAUUCAGUACGCCGUAUCCC